GGCCCGAGGACCCAAAUCCGCUUUCCCUUAUACACACAACAUGAGAAGAAUAUGUUUGCAUCGUAUGUUAUGCAAAAGGUGAACCUCACGCUAACCAACGCUGUCGCUACGACUUUGAGAGAAAUUUCGAGGUCUGCUCAUUGCAAGCUCAUCGUGAUCGAGACCAUGUAGUGGCGCCGCUUCACAUCGUUCAAUGGACUCUCCUACUCUCUUCUAGAUACAACCUUUGAAUGAAAAAAGGACAACGUAAAUAGUUCUGAAAUCUCCAUCUCUGAGAUUCAACUUUCACUCUCAAUCCAUGGUGUAUCGUGCAGACAGAUAAAUGGAAUCAAAUUGGAAGCAAGAACUCAUCGAAUCAGAGUUACGAACAGGUAACAAAUCUUCUUCCUCGCUUCCGGGCCCUCCUUCUUCUUCUCCUAACUCUCUUCUUCUUCUUUGUUGUGUCGAUGCUGGUGAUACAUAGUGGAGUGUAUUUGAUGCACCGAAGAAUUUGAUGCGGUGAAUCAUUUUGAGGAAUAAUCGAAGAGUUAUGCAUAAUUUGAAGAAGUGUUGGUUGCUGAACGGAGAUGCCUCGGUUGUAGGAUUUUCUGUUGCUGAAUGGUUGUUGCAGGUGAGACUUAGUUGCAAAAUGCUGAAGAUGCAGAAUUGCAGAGAAUGUUGUGACUUGCAGAAUUGCAGAGAAUGCUCUCAAUCCCCCAUGAGGUGAAGGUUGUGGAAUGUUAUAGAGAGGAUGAAAACCUACAACUGAAUCGGGCAAGUCGGGCACUGUUAGGAAAGGUUUUUACUUUGUAAAAUUUCCAUAGGGUGAGUUAGUUAGUAGUUACAAUCUGUUAAAAAAUUGUUAUCAGUUAGUUGGUUAGAUUAGUGUUAGUAUUGUUAAGUAUUGUUAAAGUUAACUUGAAUUUCUAUUUUGAACUAUGGUUUAUAAAUGGGCCCCUGCUUGUGAGAAUUGGUUUUGGUCAAUUAAAUAUGGUCCUGUUGUUUAACAUUUAUGCUUGUAAUUCCUGUUACUUACUUGUCGGUUAAUCGAUAUGCUGUUGCUAGUUAUGUUUACUUCAAUGGUUAAUCUGCUAUAAAAAUGGUCCUACUCCAAAUGAACUAGCAUGACCGUGCUUCCUUGCUUUCUAUUGUAUUUACACUAGCUUGUUGCCUUGAUUUCUACUACUAACAUAAUCAUAUGCUAGGAUAAAAGUCACCAAAUUGUACAUGGACUGUUAUUAUGAACUAGCAAUCUUGUUAGUUUGUGUUAGAGGUUUGUUAAGUGAAAGAAGUGUGUUUAAAAAGGGCAUAUGGUUGUCAUAAAUUUCUAAUUUGUUGUGUUGAUUUUGUCCUUGUAGGUGAUGCAAAAUGGAAGUAACUUGGCUUUGAAGGAAAAUAAGAGCAUGAAGCAUAAUGCAUGAUCAUGAAGAUGAUAGAUGAAGAAGGACCAAGAUGAGAAAUGGUUAAUGAAAAGCAAGACUUUCUUGAAGUGGAAACCAACUUGGAUGGGAGAUUGAAUGAAAUGAUGAAGCAUGAGGAAUGAAGGUUUAGGAUUAGGUUUUUUUUGUAAUUGAAUUUAAACAUUGUAAUGUAAGCAUGUGUAGGCUAUGGUUUGGAAUUGAAUUGGAAUUGUAUGAAAUGGUUAUGUGUAGGUUUAUGAAGUUGUAUAGAGUGGUCAUGUAUUGGAAAUACUUGUAGUUUUGGAUUUGAAUAGACAUAUGAAUAUGGAUUGUAGUAAAAUGGAUUGAAAGUUUGUAAUAACAUAGAAAUGGUUUAUGGUUUAAAGAUUGGUAUCAAAUGGAUUCACAUAA
RNAcentral lists this long non-coding RNA (1790 nucleotides) under Lathyrus oleraceus (garden pea). RNAcentral describes it as "Pisum sativum (pea) long non-coding RNA (PSAT_LNC021340)". The record is from RNAcentral. Lineage: Eukaryota; Viridiplantae; Streptophyta; Magnoliopsida; Fabales; Fabaceae.